Molecule: ribosomal RNA, 504 nt
Filed under: uncultured bacterium
Lineage: Bacteria
Description: bacterial SSU rRNA
Rfam family: Bacterial small subunit ribosomal RNA
Source: RNAcentral
UAUGGCUCAGGAUGAACGCUAGCGGCAGGCUUAACACAUGCAAGUCGAGGGGCAUCGGGAGUAGCAAUACUUGCCGGCGACCGGCGCAAGGGUGCGUAACGCGUGAGCAACAUGCCCGUAUCAGGGGGAUAAUCCAUGGAAACGUGGUCUAAUACCCCAUAGUAAUUAUGUAAGGCAUCUUAUAUAAUUUAAAGCUUUGGUGGAUACGGAUUGGCUCGCGUGACAUUAGCUAGAUGGUAAGGUAACGGCUUACCAUGGCUACGAUGUCUAGGGGUUCUGAGAGGAAGGCCCCCACACUGGAACUGAGACACGGUCCAGACUCCUACGGGAGGCAGCAGUGAGGAAUAUUGGACAAUGGAUGGAAAUCUGAUCCAGCCAUGCCGCGUGUAGGAAGACGGCCCUAUGGGUUGUAAACUGCUUUUGUAUGGGAGCAAUAAGGGCUACGCGUAGUCCGAUGAGAGUACCAUACGAAUAAGCACCGGCUAACUCCGUGCCAGCAGCCGC